UUGAUUUCCCAAACUCCUCAGAUGUCUGGUAGACCUUUCCGUCGUGUUUUGGUCUCCAGGAUGAUUCUCCUUUUUCAAAUUUCUGGAAUUUUUUCUUUGGUGCUUCAUAUGCUUUUUUAUUGCUUAUGGCACCUCUCUCUUUUUCUUUUUCUUUCUCAUACUCUUCAGAAUUUAUGUAUUUCUGGGCCUUUGUUAGCAGGUCCUCCAUGCAUGUUACAUUACUGACGUUUAGCUUUAUUGCUAAUGGCGUGUUCAUG
Molecule: long non-coding RNA, 257 nt
Filed under: Zostera marina
Lineage: Eukaryota; Viridiplantae; Streptophyta; Magnoliopsida; Alismatales; Zosteraceae
Description: long non-coding RNA (ZMAR_LNC004680)
Source: RNAcentral